ACAGGUGGUCAGGUAGAGAAUACCAAGGCGCUUGAGAGAACUCGGGUGAAGGAACUAGGCAAAAUGGUGCCGUAACUUCGGGAGAAGGCACGCUGACACGUAGGUGAAGUGAUUUACUCAUGGAGCUGAAGUCAGUCGAAGAUACCAGCUGGCUGCAACUGUUUAUUAAAAACACAGCACUGUGCAAACACGAAAGUGGACGUAUACGGUGUGACGCCU
Molecule: ribosomal RNA, 219 nt
Filed under: Salmonella enterica subsp. enterica serovar Javiana
Lineage: Bacteria; Pseudomonadati; Pseudomonadota; Gammaproteobacteria; Enterobacterales; Enterobacteriaceae
Description: partial 23S ribosomal RNA
Rfam family: Bacterial large subunit ribosomal RNA
Source: RNAcentral